Long non-coding RNA from Magallana angulata, 468 nucleotides. RefSeq lists it as uncharacterized. Lineage: Eukaryota; Metazoa; Mollusca; Bivalvia; Ostreida; Ostreidae. The record is from RefSeq and is a predicted model, not a curated record. The transcript has 4 exons.
AGGAUUUCUCCAUUCUUUGUAUACACACAUUGAACUUCACCUACAACUUGACAUUGAAUUUGCAAAGUGUUGACUAAAAUUGAUAUUCAAAUGAACUUUAAAGGAAAAAUGAUUGGAAAUGAUCGUUUAACUGCAGAAUCAUUGAAAUGUGCAUUGGCUGCAUACAUGUAUAUCAUCAAAGGAAGGUGUGGAGAUAGAAUACACUCAGGAAAUACCAAACAUUUUCAAUUUAAUUACAUGUACUCGUCCGUCGCAACACAGCUGUAUACUUGGACAAUGCAUUACCUUCUCACCGCUACAACCCGAUGUAUUUCCUUUGGUCGACAAUUGUUGUAUAUGAAAGGGUAUGAUGGUCGCCCUCUUGGACACGUGGUUUUUCGCCAGUUAUUUCUGUUUUCUCCACCGUCAAUUUCCCAUCAUUUUUACGCUAACAUCCGUGCCAACAUUAGGAGAUAUAAGCGGGGUGUC